AACAGUAACGGAGGCGCCCAAAGGUUCCCUCAGAAUGGUUGGAAAUCAUUCGUAGAGUGUAAAGGCAGAAGGGAGCUUGACUGCGAGACUUACAAGUCGAGCAGGGACGAAAGUCGGGCUUAGUGAUCCGGUGGUUCCACAUGGAAGGGCCAUCGCUCAACGGAUAAAAGCUACCCUGGGGAUAACAGGCUUAUCUCCCCCAAGAGUUCACAUCGACGGGGAGGUUUGGCACCUCGAUGUCGGCUCAUCGCAUCCUGGGGCUGGAGUUGGUCCCAAG
RNAcentral lists this ribosomal RNA (277 nucleotides) under Dolosigranulum pigrum. RNAcentral's name for it is "partial 23S ribosomal RNA". It matches the Rfam family "Bacterial large subunit ribosomal RNA", at positions 2293 to 2569 of the family's 2925-position model. The record is from RNAcentral. Lineage: Bacteria; Bacillati; Bacillota; Bacilli; Lactobacillales; Carnobacteriaceae.